This 1838-nucleotide ribosomal RNA is filed under the name Limisphaerales bacterium. RNAcentral's name for it is "bacterial LSU rRNA". It matches the Rfam family "Bacterial large subunit ribosomal RNA", at positions 844 to 2925 of the family's 2925-position model. The record is from RNAcentral. Lineage: Bacteria; Pseudomonadati; Verrucomicrobiota; Verrucomicrobiia; Limisphaerales.
GAUAGCUGGUUCUCUCCGAAAUCGCUUGAGGGCGAGUCUUAUGGAAGUACCCGGCGGAGGUAGAGCACUGAAUGGCUUAGAGUCCCCACCAGGAUAUCAAAACCAAUCAAACUCCGAAUACCGUCGGUCUCAGUAUCAUAGGAAUCAGGCAGUGGGCGAUAAGGUUCAUUGCCGAGAGGAUAACAGUCCAGACCAUCAGCUAAGGUGCCUAAAUGUGAUUAAGUGGAAAGGAUGUGACUUUGCUUAGACAGUGAGGAUGUUGGCUUAGAGGCAGCCAUCAUUUAAACAGUGCGUAAUAGCUGACUCAUCGAGCGAGGUCGCGCCGAAAAUGAUUGGCGAUCAAAUCACAUACCGAAGCUAUGGAUUGAAGAGGUCUUCGGAUCUUUUCAGUGGUAGGAGAGCGUAAUCAGUGCUGCGAAGCCGGACGGAAAUGGACGGUGGAGCGCUGAUUAGUGAGAAUGCAGACACGAGUAGCGAUAAANNUAAGGCGUAAUCGAUGCACAGCAGGUUAAAUAUUCCUGCGCCCGCCGGGAUUAAGGCUGCGAAUGACGCAUGGGAAGACAUCAACUAGGCAAUCGAAUGCUGAGCUUAGGCUUCGGCCAAAGCGUAUUGGUGGGUUCCUGUGCCUAGAAAAGUUUGCAGUCGUUUCCCCGACGGCCCGUACCGUAAACCGACACAGGUGGGUGAGUGUAAGCGCACUCAGGCGCGCGAGAGAAACCUCUCUAAGGAACUCGGCACAUUAGCCUCGUAACUUCGGGAAAAGAGGUGCCUGAAACCGUAGCAGCAAUGUUGCGGCGUAAGGUUUCAAUAAAUUGCGUUUAGCGACUGUUUAACAAAAACACAGCUCUCUGCAAAGUCGUGAAGACGACGUAUAGGGAGUGACAAGUGACCAAUGCGGAAAGAUUAAGAGAUUUUGUUAGCCGCAAGGCGAAGCUCGGUCUUUAAGUCCCCGUGAAUGUCGGCCGUAACUAUAACGGUCCUAAGGUAGCGAAAUUCCUUGUCGGGUAAGUUCCGACCUGCACGAAUCUUGUAACGACUGAACGACUGUCUCGGAGAGGAUCUCGGCGAAACUGUAACGGCGGUGAAGAUGCCGCCUGCCCGCAGUAGGACGGAAAGACCCUAUGCACCUUUACUGUAAGCUCGUAUUGUGUUCUGGUUGGCGAUGCGUAGCGUAGGUGGGAGACUUUGAAGCGGGGGCCUCGGUUCCCGUGGAGUCGCAAUGUGAAACACCACUCUUUGCUAAUUAGGAUUCUAACCUCAUGCUGUAAGCCAGCUGGGGGACAGUGCGUGCGGGUCAGUUUGACUGGGGCGGUUUCCUCCCAAAGAGUAACGGAGGAGCGCGAAGCUUGGCUCAGCACGGUUGGCAACCGUGCGUUGAGGGUAUGGCUAGAAGCCAGGUUAACUGUGAGACCUACAAGNNAAUGUGGAAUUGCCGUCGCUCAACGGACAAAAGGUACGCUAGGGAUAACAGGCUGAUCGGGUCCAAGAGUUCACAUCGACGACCCGGUUUGGCACCUCGAUGUCGGCUCAUCGCAUCCUGGGGCUGGAGAAGGUCCCAAGGGUCCGGCUGUUCGCCGGUUAAAGCGGUACGCGAGCUGGGUUCAGAACGUCGUGAGACAGUUCGGUCCUUAUCCACUGUGGGCGCAGGANNUGCGUAGCCAUGUGCGGAAGAGAUAAGCGCUGAAAGCAUCUAAGUGCCAAGCUCAUCCCAAGAUAAUGUCUCCCGGGGCGCAAGCUCCCUAAAGACCACGGGCAGACCACCCGUUUGAUAGGCCAGAGGUGUAAGCGUCGUAAGGCGUUUAGCCGACUGGUACUAAUCGGUCGUGCGGCUUGAUUGC